GACGAACGCUGGCGGCGUGCCUAAUACAUGCAAGUAGAACGCUGAAGAGAGGAGCUUGCUCUUCUUGGAUGAGUUGCGAACGGGUGAGUAACGCGUAGGUAACCUGCCUUGUAGCGGGGGAUAACUAUUGGAAACGAUAGCUAAUACCGCAUAACAAUGGAUGACACAUGUCAUUUAUUUGAAAGGGGCAAUUGCUCCACUACAAGAUGGACCUGCGUUGUAUUAGCUAGUAGGUGAGGUAACGGCUCACCUAGGCGACGAUACAUAGCCGACCUGAGAGGGUGAUCGGCCACACUGGGACUGAGACACGGACCAGACUCCUACGGGAGGCAGCAGUAGGGAAUCUUCGGCAAUGGGGGCAACCCUGACCGAGAAACGCCGCGUGAGUGAAGAAGGUUUUCGGAUCGUAAAGAUCUGUUGUAAGUCAAGAACGAGUGUGAGAGUGGAAAGUUCACUGUGACGGUAGAUGACCAGAAAGGGACGGCUAACUACGUG
Molecule: ribosomal RNA, 495 nt
Filed under: uncultured bacterium
Lineage: Bacteria
Description: partial 16S ribosomal RNA
Rfam family: Bacterial small subunit ribosomal RNA
Source: RNAcentral